CGAUUUAGCCCUUUGUUGACGGAUCUGUUGCACGACGAUCUGCUUUAUUCUAACUGUCCUCCUGCUUCUGAUGCUUGUGGCCUCUAUUUGCAGCCCAUCUCCACGCAGUAAUAGCUUUGUACAAAUCACUCUGACAUCACACAUCAGAAUUAUAUAGGUUUCCCCCGUUGCUCAACAUUCUAUCUACUGCUUUUGUUGACGGAUCUUCAAACAAUACGCUGGCACCUUCGUCUACAUCAUCGUGCUCCCUGCCUCGAGCUAGGCACUACAACCUGCAUGCAAAACGAGCUAAACA
Molecule: long non-coding RNA, 295 nt
Organism: Panicum virgatum (switchgrass)
Lineage: Eukaryota; Viridiplantae; Streptophyta; Magnoliopsida; Poales; Poaceae
Exons: 2
Source: RefSeq, a predicted model, not a curated record